AAUCAACGCUGGCGGCGUGCCUCAGACAUGCAAGUCGAACGAUUAAAGCUCUCUUCGGAGAGUGCAUAGAGUGGCGCACGGGUGAGUAACACGUAAGUAAUCUACCUUCGAGUGGGGAAUAACGUCCGGAAACGGACGCUAAUACCGCAUAAUGCAGCGGCAUCGCAAGAUGACAGUUGUUAAAGGAGCAAUUCGCUUGAAGAGGAGCUUGCGGCAGAUUAGCUUGUUGGUAAGGUAACGGCUUACCAAGGCUACGAUCUGUAACCGGUCUAAGAGGACGGUCGGUCACACUGACACUGAAUAACGGGUCAGACUCCUACGGGAGGCAGCAGUCGGGAAUUUUGGGUCGAAU
RNAcentral lists this ribosomal RNA (352 nucleotides) under uncultured bacterium. RNAcentral's name for it is "bacterial SSU rRNA". It matches the Rfam family "Bacterial small subunit ribosomal RNA", at positions 32 to 372 of the family's 1533-position model. The record is from RNAcentral.